RNAcentral lists this ribosomal RNA (513 nucleotides) under uncultured bacterium. Its description in RNAcentral is "partial 16S ribosomal RNA". It matches the Rfam family "Bacterial small subunit ribosomal RNA", at positions 28 to 523 of the family's 1533-position model. The record is from RNAcentral.
GACGAACGCUGGCGGCGUGCCUAAUACAUGCAAGUUGAGCGCUGAAGGUUGGUACUUGUACCGACUGGAUGAGCAGCGAACGGGUGAGUAACGCGUGGGGAAUCUGCCUUUGAGCGGGGGACAACAUUUGGAAACGAAUGCUAAUACCGCAUAACAACUUUAAACACAAGUUUUAAGUUUGAAAGAUGCAAUUGCAUCACUCAAAGAUGAUCCCGCGUUGUAUUAGCUAGUUGGUGAGGUAAAGGCUCACCAAGGCGAUGAUACAUAGCCGACCUGAGAGGGUGAUCGGCCACAUUGGGACUGAGACACGGCCCAAACUCCUACGAGAGGCAGCAGUAGGGAAUCUUCGGCAAUGGACGAAAGUCUGACCGAGCAACGCCGCGUGAGUGAAGAAGGUUUUCGGAUCGUAAAACUCUGCUGGUAGAGAAGAACGUUGGUGAGAGUGGAAAGCUCAUCAAGUGACGGUAACUACCCAGAAAGGGACGGCUAACUACGUGCCAGCCGCCGCGGUAA